This is a long non-coding RNA of Sciurus carolinensis (gray squirrel), 397 nucleotides long. RefSeq lists it as uncharacterized. The record is from RefSeq and is a predicted model, not a curated record. NCBI's taxonomy places the organism in Eukaryota, Metazoa, Chordata, Mammalia, Rodentia, Sciuridae. The transcript has 3 exons.
GGAGAUUCCGCCACCUGACCCAGGAGCUCCCUGCAGGUAGAGACAGCCACGCCUACCUCCUCCCACCGAAAACCCCAGCUUCCCGAAAAAGGAUAUGAAGAGUAUGAGUCCCGUGGCCGGAGGAACCGUGGCUGCUUGACAAGGAGGAGUAACAGGUCGGAUUUAAGUGGCUGCAUGGGAGGCAACCCACUGCAAGCGCAGCAAGUGGGGCAUUAGACAGCCUGUGAACGCCAAAGAAUAACCAAUCAGACGCCAGCAGAUAAACCUGAGUGGCUUCUUGCGACUGCCCGUCCAUCAACGGAGUCCCCAGCCAACCCCAGGGGGACACUAAACCCUCAAGCCUUCCCCGACCUAUUCCGGCCUAUAAAGACCCUGGGCAGCAGGGCCACAUGUGAUU